GGGAGCCCUGUCUGGCCCUGUUUGAGGCGAAGGACACAGCCGCCGACCCGCCGUCACCAGGUCAGAGGGUGGGCUGUGGUUGAUUGCUACGGGCCUGGUUUCUCGCAGCUGCUGGGCCCGAGGGAGUUCACGGACUGCCUGUGGGCUUUCCCGGGGACAUAAGUUCUGGAAAACACCGCCUCAUCACAGUGGAUCCUGAAACUGCUUUCUGAAACUGAUACUUGUGCUUCAUGGUUAGAAGACACACAAACCAUCUCAGGUGUUGCUAAUCAAACUCUGAAGGCCUGCAAAGAGGAAUGCUAGAAAGCCUCACAUACUAGGCUAGGCCAAUCCAAAGGAGCCUUCCUGAGCAAAAUGGAUUCUGGUAACCAUCCUUGUUGCCAAAAGCUGGUUUUGGAGAGCUAAAAAUCUUGUGAAGCUGCAGCUU
This is a long non-coding RNA of Calypte anna (Anna's hummingbird), 427 nucleotides long. RefSeq lists it as uncharacterized. The record is from RefSeq and is a predicted model, not a curated record. NCBI's taxonomy places the organism in Eukaryota, Metazoa, Chordata, Aves, Apodiformes, Trochilidae. The transcript is spliced from 3 exons.